GUAGGUGGCAAGCGUUGUCCGGAAUUAUUGGGCGAAAAGCGCGCGCAGGCGGUCCUUUAAGUCUGAUGUGAAAGCCCACGGCUCAACCGUGGAGGGUCAUUGGAAACUGAGGGACUUGAGUACAGAAGAGGAAAGCGGAAUUCCACGUGUAGCGGUGAAAUGCGUAGAGAUGUGGAGGAACACCAGUGGCGAAGGCGGCUUUCUGGUCUGUAACUGACGCUGAGGCGCGAAAGCGUGGGGAGCAAACAGGGAUUAGAUACCCUGGUAGUCCACGCCGUAAACGAUGAGUGCUAAGUGUUAGGGGGUUUCCGCCCCCUUAGUGCUGCAGCUAACGCAUUAAGCACUCCGCCUGGGGAGUACGACCGCAAGGUUG
This 373-nucleotide ribosomal RNA is filed under the name uncultured organism. RNAcentral's name for it is "partial 16S ribosomal RNA". It matches the Rfam family "Bacterial small subunit ribosomal RNA", at positions 527 to 896 of the family's 1533-position model. The record is from RNAcentral.